This 340-nucleotide long non-coding RNA is filed under the name Androctonus crassicauda. Lineage: Eukaryota; Metazoa; Arthropoda; Arachnida; Scorpiones; Buthidae. The record is from RNAcentral.
CAGAAAGUCAUUAUUAUUCUUUUCCAAAAAUCCUAAACACAGCUGCAAUAAACUGAUUAAGACCUAUGAAAUUGCAGUUGUAACAUUCUAUUGUUUGUUCCCUGCCAUGAAUGUAUAUACUAGUGAUGGCGAAUAUUUUUGGAUGCGUGGGUCAAAUUCGCCAUAUCGUUGCUUGCAGCAUUUAUUCGUGGGUCAGUGGAUUCUUUACAGCGCUUAUUCAUGGGUCAGUGGCAAAUUGAGGGAGGUGACCUUUGGAGGAGGCAGAUCUACUUUGAGAACUGAGAAGCAAAAAAAAAAAAGGAUGCGAGUUUGUAAUAAAAUUGUAGUACUUUUAGUGAGG